UAAAUUGUAGUUAAAUAAGAUUUAAUAAAAUAUUUAGCACAACCAAAUCUUGACAAAAAUAAUACUCUUAUUUAUUUUGUCUAAGUUAAAUCAUGACUAAUCUCCCGAGUAUCUUCAAAAUUUAGAAAUUUAUAUAAUCAUGAACAAAUUAGUAAUUAAAUUAUUUUAGUCAACCGUUUGAAUGGCAUUGUUGUAAAUAAUAGAAGUCUU
This 210-nucleotide long non-coding RNA is filed under the name Lathyrus oleraceus (garden pea). RNAcentral's name for it is "Pisum sativum (pea) long non-coding RNA (PSAT_LNC028380)". Lineage: Eukaryota; Viridiplantae; Streptophyta; Magnoliopsida; Fabales; Fabaceae. The record is from RNAcentral.